This 253-nucleotide ribosomal RNA is filed under the name uncultured bacterium. Its description in RNAcentral is "partial 16S ribosomal RNA". It matches the Rfam family "Bacterial small subunit ribosomal RNA", at positions 524 to 776 of the family's 1533-position model. The record is from RNAcentral.
UACGUAGGGGGCUAGCGUUGUCCGGAAUCAUUGGGCGUAAAGCGCGUGUAGGCGGCCCGGUAAGUCCGCUGUGAAAGUCCAGGGCUCAACCCUGGGAUGCCGGUCGAUACUGCCGGACUAGAGUUCGGAAGAGGCGAGUGGAAUUCCCGGUGUAGCGGUGAAAUGCGCAGAUAUCGGGAAGAACACCCGUGGCGAAGGCGGUUCUCUGGGACGGUACUGACGCUGAGACGCGAAAGCGUGGGGAGCGAACAGG